RNAcentral lists this unclassified non-coding RNA (520 nucleotides) under uncultured Glomus. RNAcentral describes it as "bacterial SSU rRNA". It matches the Rfam family "Eukaryotic small subunit ribosomal RNA", at positions 569 to 1088 of the family's 1831-position model. Lineage: Eukaryota; Fungi; Glomeromycota; Glomeromycetes; Glomerales; Glomeraceae. The record is from RNAcentral.
AGCAGCCACGGUAAUUCCAGCUCCAAUAGCGUAUAUUAAAGUUGUUGCAGUUAAAAAGCUCGUAGUUGAAUUUCGGGAUCAAUUAGUCGGUCGUGCCUCUGGUACGUACUGGUUUUAUUGGUUCCUCCCUUCUGACGAAACAUGAUGUCAUUAAUUUGGUGUCGUGGAGAAUCAGGACUGUUACCUUGAAAAAUUAGAGUGUUUAUAGCAGGCUAACGCUUGAAUACAUUAGCAUGGAAUAAUGAAAUAGGACGUUCGACCCUAUUUUGUUGGUUUCUAGGAUCGACGUAAUGAUUAAUAGGGAUAGUUGGGGGCAUUAGUAUUCAAUUGUCAGAGGUGAAAUUCUUGGAUUUAUUGAAGACUAACUACUGCGAAAGCAUUUGCCAAGGAUGUUUUCAUUAAUCAAGAACGAAAGUUAGGGGAUCGAAGACGAUCGAGACUACCGUCGUAGUACCUAACCAAUAACUAUCGACCGACGUAGGGAUCGGAUGUAUUAGUUUUAAUUUUUAAUGUACUCUAC